This 82-nucleotide transfer RNA is filed under the name Cordyceps militaris CM01. RNAcentral's name for it is "tRNA-Ser (AGA) (tRNA-Ser-AGA-2-1, tRNA-Ser-AGA-2-2)". It matches the Rfam family "tRNA". Rfam says of the family: Transfer RNA (tRNA) molecules are approximately 80 nucleotides in length. Their secondary structure includes four short double-helical elements and three loops (D, anti-codon, and T loops). Lineage: Eukaryota; Fungi; Ascomycota; Sordariomycetes; Hypocreales; Cordycipitaceae. The record is from RNAcentral.
GGCGUGUUGACCGAGUGGCCCAAGGUGUGCGACUAGAAAUCGCAUGGGUUCGCCCGCGUAGGUUCGAAUCCUGCACACGUCG